This 435-nucleotide ribosomal RNA is filed under the name uncultured bacterium. RNAcentral's name for it is "partial 16S ribosomal RNA". It matches the Rfam family "Bacterial small subunit ribosomal RNA", at positions 28 to 507 of the family's 1533-position model. The record is from RNAcentral.
GAUGAACGCUGGCGGUAUGCUUAACACAUGCAAGUCGAACGGACUCUUCGGAGUUAGUGGCGGACGGGUGAGUAACGCGUGAGAAUCUGGCUUUGGGUUCGGGACAACCACUGGAAACGGUGGCUAAUACCGGAUGUGCCGAGAGGUAAAAGAGAAAUUGCCUGAAGAUGAGCUCGCGUCUGAUUAGCUAGUUGGUGAGGUAAAGGCUCACCAAGGCAGCGAUCAGUAGCUGGUCUGAGAGGAUGACCAGCCACACUGGGACUGAGACACGGCCCAGACUCCUACGGGAGGCAGCAGUGGGGAAUUUUCCGCAAUGGGCGAAAGCCUGACGGAGCAGUACCGCGUGAGGGAAGAGGGCUCUUGGGUUGUAAACCUCUUUUCUUAGGGAAGAACAAAAUGACGGUACCUAAGGAAUCAGCAUCGGCUAACUCCGUG